UUUAUAACUAAAAAUAACUUUAACUUUAAACCGUAUCCAAAAUAACAGUACAUGUGUCCAAUAUGAAAAGCAAAAAUACAAACUCCCACUGAAACUAGAUUUCCUCAAGAGACAUUACACCGAUAUGAGCAGUGUGCUCAUGAAAGACUUUGGGUAUCAAUCCCUUAGUAAGCGGAUCCACAACCAUGGAGUUUGUCCCAAUAUACUUUAUUGACAUCUGUCCACUCUGAACUCUUUCUUUAACAGCAAGGAACUUGAUCUCUAUGUGUUUUGACUUUGUCGAGCUCCUGUUGUUAUUAGAGUACAACACUGCUGAUUUAUUGUCACAAAAUAUCUUAAGUGGUCUUUCUAUAUUGUCCACAAUGCGCAGCCCAGUGACAAAAUCACAUAGCUAUAUUCCAUGAUUUGAUGCCUCAUAACAUGCUAUAAAUCCGCUGCCAUAGUGGAAGUAGCUAUAAGUGUCUGGUUAGCACUCUUCUAGGAAAUAGCACCUCCAGCAAGCAGGUAAAUAUAGCCUGAAGUGGAUCUCCUACUAUCUUGGCAUCCCGCGAAAUCGGAAUCAGAAUAAUCGAUGAUCUCCAACUGAUCCGAUCUCCUGUAUGUGAGCAUGUAGUCUUUUGUUCUCUGUAAAUACCGCAUGACCCGUUUGGCUGCUUUCCAAUGAUCCAUUCCCGGGUUAUUUAAAUAUCUCCCUAGCAUCCCAACGAUGUACACUAUAUCCAGACGCGUACAAACCUGAGCAUACAUUAGACUCCCUAUAGCUGAGGAAUAAGGAAUCUUCUGCAUUUCUUUAAUUUCCAAGUCAUUUUUAGGGCACUGACUUAAGCUGAACUUGUCUCAUUUAGCCACAGGGGUGUCACAUGGUUUACAAUCUUGCAUGCCAUAUCUUUUAAGUACCUUUUCGAUAUAGCUCUUUUGUGA
This 921-nucleotide long non-coding RNA is filed under the name Olea europaea subsp. europaea. Lineage: Eukaryota; Viridiplantae; Streptophyta; Magnoliopsida; Lamiales; Oleaceae. The record is from RNAcentral.